GAUGAACGCUAGCGGGAGGCCUAACACAUGCAAGCCGAGCGGUAUUUGUCUUUCGGGACAGAGAGAGCGGCGUACGGGUGCGGAACACGUGUGCAACCUGCCUUUAUCAGGGGGAUAGCCUUUCGAAAGGAAGAUUAAUACCCCAUAAUAUAAUGAAUGGCAUCAUUUAUUAUUGAAAACUCCGGUGGAUAGAGAUGGGCACGCGCAAGAUUAGAUAGUUGGUAGGGUAACGGCCUACCAAGUCAGUGAUCUUUAGGGGGCCUGAGAGGGUGAUCCCCCACACUGGUACUGAGACACGGACCAGACUCCUACGGGAGGCAGCAGUGAGGAAUAUUGGACAAUGGGUGAGAGCCUGAUCCAGCCAUCCCGCGUGAAGGACGACGGCCCUAUGGGUUGUAAACUUCUUUUGUACAGGGAUAAACCUACUCUCGUGAGAGUAGCUGAAGGUACUGUACGAAUAAGCACCGGCUAACUCCGUGCCAGCAGCCGCAGUAAAAC
Molecule: ribosomal RNA, 498 nt
Filed under: uncultured bacterium
Lineage: Bacteria
Description: bacterial SSU rRNA
Rfam family: Bacterial small subunit ribosomal RNA
Source: RNAcentral